RNAcentral lists this ribosomal RNA (292 nucleotides) under uncultured bacterium. Its description in RNAcentral is "partial 16S ribosomal RNA". It matches the Rfam family "Bacterial small subunit ribosomal RNA", at positions 333 to 617 of the family's 1533-position model. The record is from RNAcentral.
GUUGACCUACGGGGCGCAGCAGUAGGGAAUUUUCGUCAAUGGGCGCAAGCCUGAACGAGCGAUGCCGCGUGAGUGAAGAAGGCCUUCGGGUCGUAAAGCUCUGUUGCGGGGGAAAAAAGGCAGCAUCAGGAAAUGGGUGCUGACUGAUGGUGCCCCGCCAGAAAGUCACGGCUAACUACGUGCCAGCAGCCGCGGUAAUACGUAGGUGGCGAGCGUUAUCGGGAUUGAUUGGGCGUAAAGGGUGCGCAGGCGGUCCUGCAAGUUUGGAGUGAAACGUAUGAGCUAAAUUGAU